This 116-nucleotide small nuclear RNA is filed under the name Sphenodon punctatus (tuatara). RNAcentral describes it as "U5 spliceosomal RNA (ENSSPUG00000000703.1)". It matches the Rfam family "U5 spliceosomal RNA". From Rfam's summary of the family: U5 RNA is a component of both types of known spliceosome. Lineage: Eukaryota; Metazoa; Chordata; Lepidosauria; Sphenodontia; Sphenodontidae. The record is from Rfam by way of RNAcentral.
AUGCUGUUGUUUCUUUUCCAAGCGUACAUAUCUUUCACCUUUUACUAAAGAUUUCCAUGGACAGAAGCGGUAUUGAGUUUAUAGAGAAUUUUUUUAAGCUUUGUUCUUCCGACGCU